Molecule: ribosomal RNA, 301 nt
Filed under: uncultured bacterium
Lineage: Bacteria
Description: partial 16S ribosomal RNA
Rfam family: Bacterial small subunit ribosomal RNA
Source: RNAcentral
CAGCAGCCGCGGUAACACAGAGGGUGCGAGCGUUAAUCGGAUUUACUGGGCGUAAAGCGUGCGUAGGCGGCUUCUUAAGUCGGAUGUGAAAUCCCUGAGCUUAACUUAGGAAUUGCAUUAGAUACUGGGAAGCUAGAGUAUGGGAGAGGAUGGUAGAAUUCCAGGUGUAGCGGUGAAAUGCGUAGAGAUCUGGAGGAAUACCGAUGGCGAAGGCAGCCAUCUGGCCUAAUACUGACGCUGAGGUACGAAAGCAUGGGGAGCAAACAGGAUUAGAUACCCGCGUAGUCCCUGUCUCUUAUAC